Molecule: ribosomal RNA, 496 nt
Filed under: uncultured bacterium
Lineage: Bacteria
Description: partial 16S ribosomal RNA
Rfam family: Bacterial small subunit ribosomal RNA
Source: RNAcentral
GAUGAACGCUGGCGGCGUGCCUAAUACAUGCAAGUCGAGCGAACAGACGAGGAGCUUGCUCCUCUGACGUUAGCGGCGGACGGGUGAGUAACACGUGGAUAACCUACCUAUAAGACUGGGAUAACUUCGGGAAACCGGAGCUAAUACCGGAUAAUAUAUUGAACCGCAUGGUUCAAUAGUGAAAGACGGUUUUGCUGUCACUUAUAGAUGGAUCCGCGCCGCAUUAGCUAGUUGGUAAGGUAACGGCUUACCAAGGCAACGAUGCGUAGCCGACCUGAGAGGGGGGCGGGCCCCCCGGGAUGGGAGAAAGGCACCGAACACCAACGGAGGGCAGCAGGAGGUAAGCUACCGAAAGGGGCGGAAGCGUGACGGAGCCAGCCCGCGGGGGUGAAGAAGGUCUGCGGAUCGUAAAACUCUGUUAUUUGGGAAAAAAAAAUGUGUAAGUAACGAAGCCCGUCUUGACGGUACCUAAGCAGAAAGCCCCGGUUAACCACGG